RNAcentral lists this transfer RNA (26 nucleotides) under Mauremys caspica. RNAcentral describes it as "partial transfer RNA-Thr". Lineage: Eukaryota; Metazoa; Chordata; Testudines; Geoemydidae. The record is from RNAcentral. RNAcentral also lists the same sequence under 1 other name.
AAAUACUCUAGUAGCUUAAUCUAUAA